This is a long non-coding RNA of Neoarius graeffei (lesser salmon catfish), 925 nucleotides long. RefSeq lists it as uncharacterized. Lineage: Eukaryota; Metazoa; Chordata; Actinopteri; Siluriformes; Ariidae. The transcript has 2 exons. The record is from RefSeq and is a predicted model, not a curated record.
UCGUUGAAACGACGUAGAGUUUUGGUCAGAAUGGUCGGUUUCCGUCGUACGUCAGAAAAUCAACGUUGAAACGGCGCCGUGAAACGUCGAUUUCUCCGCCGUCUGAGAGGGUUGAUUUAUCACCGUUGAAUCAACGUGGGUAAAGGUUGAUCUGUCGACCGUCAGAGAAGGUUGAAUAUACGACGUUGAACCAUCGUCACUUUUGCCGGCCAGUUUUCAACAUUGGUAGGAUGAGCUGGCCCGUAGCCAGGGGGGAUCGGAGGCUCAUUCGAUCCCCCCCCCGCGACACCGCGCCCCGGACACACACGCCUCAAGAUUACUCAAGAUUUAUUCAUUUGUUCAUGUCCGAUGAAUAUACAUUGAUUCACAUUUAAAUUUACAAUAUCAAAUCCAGACUAAUCAAAAAAGAAAAGUAGACUAAGUGAGGACGAGUUAGAAAAACGGGUUCAUUUCUCCUAUGUUUAUGUUUACACGUUUUGUUCAGACUGCUUUACACCCCAAUCCAGUGGGUGGCGGUAAUGCCCCCAUUAGACCCCUUUCACUGACGUCACCCGAAACCGGAAGUAAACAAACCCUGCGCCACAUUGGAAGACCAACAAACUCGUGAUUUGGGGGAAAUAAAGGCAGCGCGCGGUAUGUGAACCCACGAGGCACUUGGUUCAUCAUAAACCUACAAUGGUAAACUUUUGUGCUGUGUUAGGGUUCUAACAAAGCUGAUGGGAAAGGUGAAAAGAAGUCUUUCUACAGAAUACCAGCUGUGUUUGAGACACAAGCAAACCAAGGAGCUUUCUGCCAGGAGACAGAGAGAGGAUUUAGCUGCUUUAUGCAGAGCGGAUCUGAAUACUUCAAGUCUAUUUUGUUACUGGUCUGCGCCGCAGGAGGAAUAGGCCACAAUUAUAAAUAAAUCAUAAAAUGUUUCUAAGAA